RNAcentral lists this transfer RNA (95 nucleotides) under Mycobacterium conspicuum. RNAcentral describes it as "tRNA-Ser". The record is from RNAcentral. Lineage: Bacteria; Bacillati; Actinomycetota; Actinomycetes; Mycobacteriales; Mycobacteriaceae. RNAcentral also lists the same sequence under 1 other name.
CGACGACGUAGGGCGGCGGGAAGCCCGGCAGCCACUGCUGGUGGUUCACGGUGAAACCGGCGACCGUGGCGCGUCCGGAUACGGGCGUCAUCGCC